Molecule: ribosomal RNA, 484 nt
Filed under: uncultured bacterium
Lineage: Bacteria
Description: partial 16S ribosomal RNA
Rfam family: Bacterial small subunit ribosomal RNA
Source: RNAcentral
AUUGAACGCUGGCGGCAGGCCUAACACAUGCAAGUCGAGCGGAUGAAGGGAGCUUGCUCCUGGAUUCAGCGGCGGACGGGUGAGUAAUGCCUAGGAAUCUGCCUGGUAGUGGGGGAUAACGUCCGGAAACGGGCGCUAAUACCGCAUACGUCCUGAGGGAGAAAGUGGGGGAUCUUCGGACCUCACGCUAUCAGAUGAGCCUAGGUCGGAUUAGCUAGUUGGUGGGGUAAAGGCCUACCAAGGCGACGAUCCGUAACUGGCCUGAGAGGAUGAUCAGUCACACUGGAGCUGAGACACGGUCCAGACUCCUACGGGAGGCAGCAGUGGGGAAUAUUGGACAAUGGGCGAAAGCCUGAUCCAGCCAUGCCGCGUGUGUGAAGAAGGUCUUCGGAUUGUAAAGCACUUUAAGUUGGGAGGAAGGGCAGUAAGUUAAUACCUUGCUGUUUUGACGUUACCAACAGAAUAAGCACCGGCUAACUUCGUG